RNAcentral lists this long non-coding RNA (209 nucleotides) under Elaeis guineensis (African oil palm). RNAcentral's name for it is "long non-coding RNA (EGUI_LNC069450)". The record is from RNAcentral. Lineage: Eukaryota; Viridiplantae; Streptophyta; Magnoliopsida; Arecales; Arecaceae.
CUUCCAAGCUUCGUCAGCAUCCGAGCUUCCCCAACAAUGAGAUUUCUACGGUAACCAGACUCCUUCCAAGUUUUUACGGCGGUCGACUGCCUUGCGGAUCCUAAUCGAGCUCCCGCGAGAGCCGAACUUUUGCUACGAACAGUCUACUCCGAACUCCUACAGCGGGCUGUCUACCCCAGAUAUCUUCUGUAAACAAAUUUCUUUCGAAC